GAUGAACGCUGGCGGCGUGCCUAAUACAUGCAAGUCGAGCGAACAGAUAAGGAGCUUGCUCCUUUGACGUUAGCGGCGGACGGGUGAGUAACACGUGGGUAACCUACCUAUAAGACUGGGAUAACUUCGGGAAACCGGAGCUAAUACCGGAUAAUAUUUCGAACCGCAUAGUUCGAUAGUGAAAGAGGGUUUUGCUAUCACUUAUAGAUGGACCCGCGCCGUAUUAGCUAGUUGGUAAGGUAACGGCUUACCAAGGCGACGAUACGUAGCCGACCUGAGAGGGUGAUCGGCCACACUGGAACUGAGACACGGUCCAGACUCCUACGGGAGGCAGCAGUAGGGAAUCUUCCGCAAUGGGCGAAAGCCUGACGGAGCAACGCCGCGUGAGUGAUGAAGGUCUUCGGAUCGUAAAGCUCUGUUAUUAGGGAAGAACAUCCGUGUAAGUAACUGUGCACGUCUUGACGGUACCUAAUCAGAAAGCCCCGGCUAACUACGUG
Molecule: ribosomal RNA, 497 nt
Filed under: uncultured bacterium
Lineage: Bacteria
Description: partial 16S ribosomal RNA
Rfam family: Bacterial small subunit ribosomal RNA
Source: RNAcentral